This 624-nucleotide ribosomal RNA is filed under the name uncultured bacterium. RNAcentral describes it as "bacterial SSU rRNA". It matches the Rfam family "Bacterial small subunit ribosomal RNA", at positions 28 to 646 of the family's 1533-position model. The record is from RNAcentral.
GAUGAACGCUAGCGACAGGCUUAACACAUGCAAGUCGAGGGGCAGCACAGGUAGCAAUACCGGGUGGCGACCGGCGCACGGGUGAGUAACGCGUAUGCAACUUACCUAUCAGAGGGGGAUAACCCGGCGAAAGUCGGACUAAUACCGCAUGAAGCAGGGGCCCCGCAUGGGGAUAUUUGCUAAAGAUUCAUCGCUGAUAGAUAGGCAUGCGUUCCAUUAGGCAGUUGGCGGGGUAACGGCCCACCAAACCGACGAUGGAUAGGGGUUCUGAGAGGAAGGUCCCCCACAUUGGUACUGAGACACGGACCAAACUCCUACGGGAGGCAGCAGUGAGGAAUAUUGGUCAAUGGGCGUAAGCCUGAACCAGCCAAGUCGCGUGAGGGAUGAAGGUUCUAUGGAUCGUAAACCUCUUUUAUAAGGGAAUAAAGUGCGGGACGUGUCCCGUUUUGUAUGUACCUUAUGAAUAAGGAUCGGCUAACUCCGUGCCAGCAGCCGCGGUAAUACGGAGGAUCCGAGCGUUAUCCGGAUUUAUUGGGUUUAAAGGGUGCGUANGCGGCCUUUUAAGUCAGCGGUGAAAGUCUGUGGCUCAACCAUAGAAUUGCCGUUGAAACUGGGAGGCUUGAG